RNAcentral lists this transfer RNA (34 nucleotides) under Caroxylon passerinum. Its description in RNAcentral is "partial tRNA-Leu". The record is from RNAcentral. RNAcentral also lists the same sequence under 19 other names. Lineage: Eukaryota; Viridiplantae; Streptophyta; Magnoliopsida; Caryophyllales; Amaranthaceae.
GACUUAAAAUCCGUCGACUUUAAAAAUCGUGAGG